GAGCAGUGACGAUUGAUUUGCGCUAAACCUGUGAUGGCUGGGUCUCAUCACCAACGUCUGAUGUAUCGGACGACAAUACGCGCAUCUGAGCUC
This is a small nucleolar RNA of Vitis vinifera (wine grape), 93 nucleotides long. It matches the Rfam family "small nucleolar RNA snoR114". The record is from Rfam. Lineage: Eukaryota; Viridiplantae; Streptophyta; Magnoliopsida; Vitales; Vitaceae.